GGCGGACGGGUGAGUAACGCGUAAGGAACUUGCCUCUUGGACUGGGACAACUGUUGGAAACGACAGCUAAUACCGGAUAUUAUGAGAUUCUCGCAUGAGAAACUUAUGAAAGCUAUAUGCGCCAAGAGAGAGCCUUGCGUUCCAUUAGCUAGUUGGUGGGGUAACGGCCCACCAAGGCGACGAUGGAUAGCCGGCCUGAGAGGGUGAACGGCCACAAGGGGACUGAGACACGGCCCUUACUCCUACGGGAGGCAGCAGUGGGGAAUAUUGGACAAUGGGCCACAAGCCUGAUCCAGCAAUUCUGUGUGCACGAUGAAGGUCUUCGGAUUGUAAAGUGCUUUCAGUUGGGAAGAAGAAAGUGACGGUACCAACAGAAGAAGCGACGGCUAAAUACGUGCCAGCAGCCGCGGUAAUACGUAUGUCGCAAGCGUUAUCCGGAUUUAUUGGGCGUAAAGCGCGUCUAGGCGGAAAAAUAAGUCUGAUGUUAAAAUGCGGGGCUCAACUCCGUAUUGCGUUGGAAACUGUUUUUCUAGAGUACUGGAGAGGUGGGCGGAACUACAAGUGUAGAGGUGAAAUUCGUAGAUAUUUGUAGGAAUGCCGAUGGAGAAGUCAGCUCACUGGACAGAUACUGACGCUGAAGCGCGAAAGCGUGGGGAGCAAACAGGA
Molecule: ribosomal RNA, 666 nt
Filed under: uncultured bacterium
Lineage: Bacteria
Description: bacterial SSU rRNA
Rfam family: Bacterial small subunit ribosomal RNA
Source: RNAcentral